This 253-nucleotide ribosomal RNA is filed under the name uncultured bacterium. RNAcentral's name for it is "partial 16S ribosomal RNA". It matches the Rfam family "Bacterial small subunit ribosomal RNA", at positions 524 to 776 of the family's 1533-position model. The record is from RNAcentral.
UACAGAGGUCUCAAGCGUUGUUCGGAUUCAUUGGGCGUAAAGGGUGCGUAGGCGGCGCGGUAAGUCGGGUGUGAAAUCUCGGAGCUUAACUCCGAAACUGCAUUCGAUACUGCCGUGCUUGAGGACUGGAGAGGAGACUGGAAUUUACGGUGUAGCGGUGAAAUGCGUAGAUAUCGUAAGGAAGACCAGUGGCGAAGGCGGCUUCUUGGGCCUUUACUGACGCUGAGGCGCGAAAGCCAGGGGAGCGAACGGG